GACGAUCUGUAGCGGGUCUGAGAGGAUGAUCCGCCACACUGGAACUGAGACACGGUCCAGACUCCUACGGGAGGCAGCAGUGGGGAAUUUUGGACAAUGGGGGCAACCCUGAUCCAGCCAUGCCGCGUGAGUGAAGAAGGCCUUCGGGUUGUAAAGCUCUUUCGGCCGGGAAGAAGUCGCAUGGGCCAAUACCCUGUGUGGAUGACGGUACCGGAAUAAGAAGCACCGGCUAACUACGUGCCAGCAGCCGCGGUAAUACGUAGGGUGCGAGCGUUAAUCGGAAUUACUGGGCGUAAAGCGUGCGCAGGCGGUUUUGUAAGACAGGCGUGAAAUCCCCGGGCUUAACCUGGGAACUGCGUUUGUGACUGCAAGGCUAGAGUACGGCAGAGGGGGGUGGAAUUCCACGUGUAGCAGUGAAAUGCGUAGAGAUGUGGAGGAACACCAAUGGCGAAGGCAGCCCCCUGGGUCGAUACUGACGCUCAUGCACGAAAGCGUGGGUAGCAAACAGGAUUAGAUACCCUGGUAGUCCACGCCCUAAACUAUGUCAACUAGGUGUUGGGUGGGUAAAACCAUUUAGUACCGUAGCUAACGCGUGAAGUUGACCGCCUGGGGAGUACGGCCGCAAGGUUAAAACUCAGAGGAAUUGACGGGGACCCGCACAAGCGGUGGAUGAUGUGGAUUAAUUCGAUGCAACGCGAAAAACCUUACCUACCCUUGACAUGCCAGGAACUUGCCAGAGAUGGCUUGGUGCCCGAAAGGGAGCCUGGACACAGGUGCUGCAUGGCUGUCGUCAGCUCGUGUCGUGAGAUGUUGGGUUAAGUCCCGCAACGAGCGCAACCCUUGUCGUUAAUUGCCAUCAUUUAGUUGGGCACUUUAACGAGACUGCCGGUGACAAACCGGAGGAAGGUGGGGAUGACGUCAAGUCCUCAUGGCCCUUAUGGGUAGGGCUUCACACGUCAUACAAUGGUCGGUACAAAGGGUUGCCAAGCCGCGAGGCGGAGCCAAUCCCAGAAAGCCGAUCGUAGUCCGGAUUGCAGGCUGCAACUCGCCUGCAUGAAGUCGGAAUCGCUAGUAAUCGUGGAUCAGCAUGUCACGGUGAAUACGUUCCCGGGUCUUGUACACACCGCCCGUCACACCAUGGGAGCGGGUUCCGCCAGAAGUAGGUAGCCUAACCGCAAGGGGGGCGCUUACCACGGCGGGGUUCGUGACUGGGGUGAAGUCGUAACAAGGUA
RNAcentral lists this ribosomal RNA (1232 nucleotides) under metagenome. RNAcentral describes it as "bacterial SSU rRNA". It matches the Rfam family "Bacterial small subunit ribosomal RNA", at positions 275 to 1498 of the family's 1533-position model. The record is from RNAcentral.